GGACUUGAGGAUGAUACAGCGGUGGCAUCCGUCAACCCACUGAUUGCCAGAGUCCACAUAACUGAUCUAGCUGGCUUGAUGUCUUCUCCCUCAAUCACCAUGAGGAAUCUUCUUGAAUUUUUCUGCCUGACCAGAGAGAAUAAUGUAUCCAAAUAGAGAAGGACUGUUCUUCAAUCAAAAGCAAACUAUCACAGGACUCCCUUGCAAGAAUCUUUGUAGCAGUUAAACCAUCACUGGCUUUUAAGAAGAAAAUAAGGAUGGCUAUGAGGGUAUUGAAAAUAUUUUUAGGGGAAAACAUUU
RNAcentral lists this small RNA (300 nucleotides) under Carlito syrichta (Philippine tarsier). Its description in RNAcentral is "7SK RNA (ENSTSYG00000024770.2)". It matches the Rfam family "7SK RNA". Rfam says of the family: 7SK was discovered as an abundant small nuclear RNA in the mid-70s but a possible function has only recently been suggested. Two independent studies have found that 7SK RNA binds the CDK9/cyclin T complex (known as elongation factor P-TEFb). The record is from RNAcentral. Lineage: Eukaryota; Metazoa; Chordata; Mammalia; Primates; Tarsiidae.